RNAcentral lists this ribosomal RNA (495 nucleotides) under uncultured bacterium. RNAcentral's name for it is "partial 16S ribosomal RNA". It matches the Rfam family "Bacterial small subunit ribosomal RNA", at positions 28 to 507 of the family's 1533-position model. The record is from RNAcentral.
GACGAACGCUGGCGGCGUGCCUAAUACAUGCCAGUCGAACGCUGAAGGAGGAGCUUGCUCUUCUGGAUGAGUUGCGAACGGGUGAGUAACGCGUAGGUAACCUGCCUGGUAGCGGGGGAUAACUAUUGGAAACGAUAGCUAAUACCGCAUAAGAGUAGAUGUUGCAUGACAUUUGCUUAAAAGGUGCAAUUGCAUCACUACCAGAUGGACCUGCGUUGUAUUAGCUAGUUGGUGGGGUAACGGCUCACCAAGGCGACGAUACAUAGCCGACCUGAGAGGGUGAUCGGCCACACUGGGACUGAGACACGGCCCAGACUCCUACGGGAGGCAGCAGUAGGGAAUCUUCGGCAAUGGACGGAAGUCUGACCGAGCAACGCCGCGUGAGUGAAGAAGGUUUUCGGAUCGUAAAGCUCUGUUGUAAGAGAAGAACGAGUGUGAGAGUGGAAAGUUCACACUGUGACGGUAUCUUACCAGAAAGGGACGGCUAACUACGUG